CAAUAGCCUCGAUUGCAGCGACAUCCUUUUUCUGAAUAGGAUUGGUAAAAAGCAAGGGCGAAAAAGAUACAGCGGAAAGCGAGAUUAAGC
This 90-nucleotide small RNA is filed under the name Chryseobacterium indoltheticum. RNAcentral's name for it is "Flavo-1 RNA". It matches the Rfam family "Flavo-1 RNA". The record is from RNAcentral. Lineage: Bacteria; Pseudomonadati; Bacteroidota; Flavobacteriia; Flavobacteriales; Weeksellaceae.